RNAcentral lists this ribosomal RNA (445 nucleotides) under uncultured bacterium. RNAcentral's name for it is "partial 16S ribosomal RNA". It matches the Rfam family "Bacterial small subunit ribosomal RNA", at positions 354 to 796 of the family's 1533-position model. The record is from RNAcentral.
GUGAGGAAUAUUGCGCAAUGGAGGCAACUCUGACGCAGCCAUGCCGCGUGCAGGAAGAAGGCGCUACGCGUUGUAAACUGCUUUUAACCGGGAAGAAACCCCAGGACGUGUCCUGGGUUGACGGUACCGGAGGAAUAAGCACCGGCUAACUUCGUGCCAGCAGCCGCGGUAAUACGAAGGGUGCAAGCGUUAUCCGGAUUCAUUGGGUUUAAAGGGUGCGUAGGCGGAGCGUUAAGUCAGUGGUGAAAUCCAGCAGCUUAACUGUAGACUUGCCAUUGAUACUGGCGCUCUUGAGUGCGCUUGAAGUGGGCGGAAUGUGCCGUGUAGCGGUUAAAUGCUUAGAUAUGGCACAGAACACCAAUUGCGAAGGCAGCUCACUAAGGCGAUACUGACGCUGAGACACGAAAGCGUGGGGAUCGAACAGGAUUAGAAACCCGGGUAGUCC